GCCGGGCACAGUGGAGCACACCUGUAAUCCCAGCAGCUCUGGAGGCUGAGACAGGAGGAUCACAAGUUCAAAGCCAGCCUCAGCAACUUAGCAAGGCACUAAGCAACUCAAUGAGACCCUGUCUCUA
Molecule: small RNA, 127 nt
Filed under: Marmota monax (woodchuck)
Lineage: Eukaryota; Metazoa; Chordata; Mammalia; Rodentia; Sciuridae
Source: RNAcentral